This is a microRNA precursor of Bison bison bison, 61 nucleotides long. The record is from Ensembl. NCBI's taxonomy places the organism in Eukaryota, Metazoa, Chordata, Mammalia, Artiodactyla, Bovidae.
UUCGGCGCCACCACCCUGCGGGUCGCGCUGUAAGAUCUUGCCCCGCGGGUGUUCGCCCACC